Dromaius novaehollandiae (emu) is the source of this 1500-nucleotide long non-coding RNA. RefSeq lists it as uncharacterized. The transcript is spliced from 3 exons. NCBI's taxonomy places the organism in Eukaryota, Metazoa, Chordata, Aves, Casuariiformes, Dromaiidae. The record is from RefSeq and is a predicted model, not a curated record.
GAUUUAUGCUACUUUGCCAAAUCCUGAAAUGAAAGAGCUGCACUGCCACCUACUGUCAAUAUGUUGUCUUUUCCCAGCAGGAGCUGCCACUUAAAGUAAGAAAUCCUACGUGCUCUCACACAAAAUGUUGAAAGCUGUUGACCGAAACACACACGAAAGAAAACGCUCUCCACUGUCAUACCUUUGAAUCCUGGCUGAGGAAGAGCAAGACCUGGAGUCAUCUCAACUAAUGAUACUCUGUGACUGACUCAUCAAAAAGAGAUUCCAGCAGAUACUUCCUUGGCUGCUUCUCCCAUUCACCAUGAUCAAUAGUUUCUAAGAGGCUUAUGAGAUGUUGCAAGAUAUACAGGAAAUGAAGGCAAGUGUGUGUGUCACUAGCACAUAGACAAAUCAGAUAGCAAAUGAUCUGCAAUUUUUAAUUCUCCAAUAAGACAAUGCUUUUUUUUUUUUCAAAAUCUGAGCUAUUCUGCUGGUCUUCUAUCAUCCCUCUCACAAACCAGUAAACUUAAACAGUAAAAAACAAAAACAAAAUUACUAGUAAUCCCAUGAACGUAAUCGUAAAGAGCAUAUGCAGAUCAUUAGCAUUUUCUAUUCUAUGCUGCUCUUUAUUAAUGAAUGCUUGCUCAGGCCACACUACUCUUUGUUCUGUUUCAACAGGUUUGGCUGAUAUGAUGUUUUCUGACUUUGUAAAUCCAUCUAAGCAUAAAAUGUUUUUCUAAAACCCCAGUAAAUUUUGCCUUGUAGCUGUUCCACUGUUAUCUACUAAUUUAGUAAUGUUCAAACCAAACACAUUUAUCAGUUUUUGCGUCCUCUUCAUGAAUCAAUGCCAAGACACCUCUCACUAAAUGGCAUGUUUUGUGUCUGAAUAUCCUGUAAUUUUGCCAGUAUUUUCUGUAUCUUCCCAAGGUAAUUUAAUGCAUUCCUUUAGUUAUGCCUACUGUACACAAACACCUUUCUCUCUCCUCCUGCUGACUACAUCUACUAGCCUUCUUGGCAAAAGACUUUUUGUUAUCUAUUUCUACUAAUUUUUGAAUCUUGAGACAUGAUUUUUCUAAGCCUGCUUCUUUGACAGCUUUGAUUGUUCUAAUUGCCUUAUUAUCAUCUGCUCUCAUACAGUGAUAAAGUCUUUUAAUGUUUCAUGUACUAGGAAAGACAAAGGGGAAAAAACAUGAGCAAAAUCAGUCUUUGUUCCUGGAAUGUUACUACCUCUACAGUUCACAGUCAUUAGGGUGAAGAAUUCAUUUUGGCCCUCAGUUGUUUCAAAGUUUUAUCCUUCCAGUGGCCCUGCUGUCUCUUUGCUAUUCUGCUCACUUCAGCUGCAAAAUGAAUUGAUCAUUGUUGCUCCUUUUGCUACCUAUUUCAUGUAGUACUUUAACAACCCAGAAUAAUGAUUUGUACUCAGUUCUUUAAUUUUUCUAUGAACUUAUGUCACAUGCAUAUUUUUUAAUGUAGCUUGUUGUAUCUAUGUAAGGAAUUGUAUAAUAAGAAAGCCCAUCACUG